Molecule: ribosomal RNA, 378 nt
Filed under: uncultured bacterium
Lineage: Bacteria
Description: bacterial SSU rRNA
Rfam family: Bacterial small subunit ribosomal RNA
Source: RNAcentral
AUUGAACGCUGGCGGAAUGCCUUACACAUGCAAGUCGAACGGCAGCACGGGAGCAAUCCUGGUGGCGAGUGGCGAACGGGUGAGUAAUACAUCGGAACGUGCCCAAUCGUGGGGGAUAACGUAGCGAAAGCUACGCUAAUACCGCAUACGAUCUACGGAUGAAAGCAGGGGAUCGCAAGACCUUGCGCGAAUGGAGCGGCCGAUGGCAGAUUAGGAGUUGGUGGGGUAAAGGCUCACCAAGCCUGCGAUCUGUAGCUGGUCUGAGAGGACGACCAGCCACACUGGGACUGAGACACGGCCCAGACUCCUACGGGAGGCAGCAGUGGGGAAUUUUGGACAAUGGGCGCAAGCCUGAUCCAGCCAUUCCGCGUGCAGGAU